This 422-nucleotide ribosomal RNA is filed under the name uncultured bacterium. Its description in RNAcentral is "bacterial SSU rRNA". It matches the Rfam family "Bacterial small subunit ribosomal RNA", at positions 29 to 496 of the family's 1533-position model. The record is from RNAcentral.
AACGAACGCUGGCGGCAGGCUUAAGACAUGCAAGUCGAGCGCACCCUUCGGGGUGAGCGGCGGACGGGUGAGUAACGCGUGGGAACGUGCCUUUCUCUAAGGAAUAGCCUCUGGAAACGGAGAGUAAUACCUUAUACGCCCUUCGGGGGAAAGAUUUAUCGGAGAGAGAUCGGCCCGCGUUAGAUUAGAUAGUUGGUGGGGUAACGGCCUACCAAGUCUACGAUCUAUAGCUGGUUUUAGAGGAUGAUCAGCAACACUGGGACUGAGACACGGCCCAGACUCCUACGGGAGGCAGCAGUGGGGAAUCUUAGACAAUGGGCGCAAGCCUGAUCUAGCCAUGCCGCGUGUGUGAUGAAGGCCCUAGGGUCGUAAAGCACUUUCGCCAGGGAUGAUAAUGACAGUACCUGGUAAAGAAACCCCGG